Molecule: long non-coding RNA, 678 nt
Filed under: Anolis carolinensis (green anole)
Lineage: Eukaryota; Metazoa; Chordata; Lepidosauria; Squamata; Anolidae
Description: lncRNA (ENSACAG00000039356.1)
Source: RNAcentral
UAAACCCGAGUCUUAUUUGGGGUUAUUUGAGCAGUGUGAUUCAGAGCUAAAUAAAUGUUUAUUUCAGAGCCUUUCACUUCGGUUUAUCUCCUACGAAUUCCAGAGAGGAAAAUUUAUCUAAUGCUAUACCUUAAUAUCUACAGGAGCCGUUGCGGUGAAAUCUAGAAAGGGAGCAGGAGCAGUGGUUUGCCUGAUGGCCAUCACUUGGAUUUACCAGAGGUCACCAAAUGUCAUUCUGCAGGUAGGGAUCCUUCAGGGUUUACAUUGGUGUUUUUCUUCCUGCCCAUUACAAAGUUUCUGAUCUUCCUUUUCAUUUCUUUACUUAUCAGUCCGAUAAUUCACCAGGAAAUUCCUGGGCCAUGGAUGGUUCUCGUGACUUUUUAAUAAUUAAACUGUUCCAACCCAGCUGCCCUGUGUUUUUGCUUAUGGACCAUUGGAGGAAAGAAAUGGCUCCCACCACUGCUCUGCAAAACCUUUCCGUAUAUGGAUCAUGUCCGGAAGGAUGGCAAUAUCUAAAACUUGUCAUUUCAAGUAACUGAAAUAACCAAAACUACGCAUGUAUAUAUAAAAUCCAAACCUACAGAUUGAAAAUAUGAAAAAAGAACAAAAAAGCUUAGACCCUUUUUUGAUAUGUAAAAAAGAUUCUUUACUAUUUGCUAUACUGUUUGUUACUAUUUG